This 456-nucleotide ribosomal RNA is filed under the name uncultured bacterium. RNAcentral's name for it is "partial 16S ribosomal RNA". It matches the Rfam family "Bacterial small subunit ribosomal RNA", at positions 30 to 507 of the family's 1533-position model. The record is from RNAcentral.
UAAACGCUGGCGGCGUGCAUGAGACAUGCAAGUCGAACGAAGGAUCGGGCUUGCUCGAUCCUUAGUGGCGGACGGCUGAGUAACGCGUAGGUGACCUACCCCGAAGUGGGGAAUAACUGCCCGAAAGGGUGGCUAAUACCGCAUGUGGUCGCACGUUCAUUCGUGCGAGUAAAGCCGCAAGGCGCUUCGGGAGGGGCCUGCGUCCGAUUGGCUCGUUGGUGGGGUAAUGGCUUACCAAGGCGACGAUCGGUAGGUGGUCUGAGGGGACGAUCACCCGGACUGGGACUGAGACACGGCCCAGACUCCUACGGGAGGCAGCAGUCGGGAAUUUUGCUCAAUGGGGGAAACCCUGAAGCAGCAACGCCGCGUGAGGGAUGAAGGCCUUCGGGUUGUAAACCUCUUUUGUCAGGGACGAUGAUGACGGUACCUGGCGAAUAAGCCACGGCUAACUACGUG